Molecule: ribosomal RNA, 550 nt
Filed under: uncultured organism
Description: bacterial SSU rRNA
Rfam family: Bacterial small subunit ribosomal RNA
Source: RNAcentral
GAGACACUGCCCAGACACCUACGGGUGGCUGCAGUCGAGAAUCUUCGGGCAAUGGGCGCAAGCCUGACCGAGCGACGCCGCGUGCGGGAUGAAGGCCUUCGGGUUGUAAACCGCUGUCAGAGGGGAUGAAAGGUCAUGGGGUACUCUCCAUGAUUUGACAGAUCCUCAGAGGAAGUACGGGCUAAGUUCGUGCCAGCAGCCGCGGUAAGACGAACCGUACGAACGUUAUUCGGAAUCACUGGGCUUAAAGGGUGCGUAGGCGGUGCGGUAAGUUGGGUGUGAAAUCCCUCGGCUCAACCGAGGAAUUGCGCCCAAAACUACCGUGCUAGAGGGAGACAGAGGUGAGUGGAACUUAGGGUGGAGCGGUGAAAUGCGUUGAUAUCCUAAGGAACACCAGUGGCGAAAGCGACUCACUGGGUCUCUUCUGACGCUGAGGCACGAAAGCUAGGGGAGCAAACGGGAUUAGAUACCCCGGUAGUCCUAGCUGUAAACGAUGAGCACUGGGUUGGAGGGCCCUCCAUAGCCUUCCAGCCGAAGCGAAAGUAUUUAG